CGUAGGGCGCAAGCGUUGUCCGGAAUUAUUGGGCGUAAAGAGCUCGUAGGCGGCUUGUCACGUCGGGUGUGAAAGCCCGGGGCUUAACCCCGGGUCUGCAUUCGAUACGGGCUAGCUAGAGUGUGGUAGGGGAGAUCGGAAUUCCUGGUGUAGCGGUGAAAUGCGCAGAUAUCAGGAGGAACACCGGUGGCGAAGGCGGAUCUCUGGGCCAUUACUAACGCUGAGGAGCGAAAGCGUGGGGAGCGAACAGGAUUAGAUACCCUGGUAGUCCACGCCGUAAACGGUGGGAACUAGGUGUUGGCGACAUUCCACGUCGUCGGUGCCGCAGCUAACGCAUUAAGUUCCCCGCCUGGGGAGUACGGCCGCAAGGCUA
This 373-nucleotide ribosomal RNA is filed under the name uncultured organism. RNAcentral's name for it is "bacterial SSU rRNA". It matches the Rfam family "Bacterial small subunit ribosomal RNA", at positions 526 to 896 of the family's 1533-position model. The record is from RNAcentral.